RNAcentral lists this long non-coding RNA (347 nucleotides) under Zonotrichia albicollis (white-throated sparrow). RNAcentral describes it as "lncRNA (ENSZALG00000007288.1)". The record is from RNAcentral. Lineage: Eukaryota; Metazoa; Chordata; Aves; Passeriformes; Passerellidae.
GCACAAAAUUCCUAGGUUUUAGGCUGCCUCUGGCUCUUGUGUUCAUCUGAGAACCAGAGUAGCAGUUGAAGUUUUCCUCCCCACCCCAUCAGUUUGAGUUCCUAUCCUCAUUGACCUGUGUAUUGUGGCUCUCUCUGUGCCCUCUAUUAUUGCCCAGCAGCUUCAUUGUUGCCAGAAGUCUGCCUAUGUUGCUUUGAUUUGUUCUUGGCUGUCUUAGAGGAUAAAGAAGAUUGUUUCAGGCUGACUCCAGCUGAACCUGGGAGUGCUGAGACUGUGGCUACAAACAAUUGCAAAUGGAUUUUCCCUGCCUGGGUCGCUGUGGUUAUGGAGCAGCAGCCAGCCUAGAG